UCAUAUUACUGGUCAAAACUGACAGCAAGUAAAUCUAUAUUGGUAACAAAAGUGUUUGGUGUAAGAAACCGUGGAAGAUUCAUUGUAUGUAGUGUGUGAAUACAUACGUAAAUGCCAAUGUGUGCAUAAUGUAUAAACGCCAAAAUUGUGGUACAUCAAAAGGGGUGGCUCAUGUGACAAGAGUUGUGCAUCUUGUGACCCUCUUAAAUUAUUCGUAUCGUUUUCAAACAAACGAUCAUUGUAUGUUAGAUCAGAUCUCAAUUUUAUUUUUGAAACAUCCCAGUAUCAUUUAACCCCAAGAAAAAAUGCCAUUAAUUCGUUGUAGUAGAUUGGGAAAUUACUCAUUUUAUGUUUAAUAAAACUACAAAAUAACUGCUAUGCAUGCAUGAAUUUGAAACGCCAAGGCUCAGAAUUUCUGAACAAAAAAAGUUAUUUAUUUAAAAAACGGAAGACGCCAACAAAAAUUUGAAGAAUGCCUUAUCCGUUGGGACAGACUUGGACAGGUCCGUUAGAUUCCAACGGGGCGAAUCCGUAAAUGAGGCAGAGGACUAGAUACAAUACAGACGGCACUAACAAUGCCACGUGUCAAAAUGACAAAUGUUAAAGUGUGGGAUCUGUGGUCCACGUGUGAUGGAGUUGCCGGGAUACUAGGGUCGCAUGGGCACGUGUGAGGUGCCAGCUUGGCAUUAUUCUCAGUUUUUUUUUAAUUUUAGCUUAAAGAGAAAUUUUGAUAAAUAAAAGAAAAUAAAAAGCAGCCGUUGAGAAAGGUACGGUGUACCCACCGCUGCUUCUUUACCUCUUUUUCUAAUUUUGUUUGUGUUUUUUUUAAUUUUUAAUACAGUACUGUUUUGUCUGUUACUCUGCCACAUAUGUUAAGCUAGAAUAAUGCCACGUGUCACCAUUAUCUCUUCCAUGUUACGACUUGUGUCAUUGCACAUUAAGAGGAAAACUAUUUGGUUUCUUAUUCUUGGUAUGGAUUUAUACUCACCAUCCCUAGGAGAUAUUUUGAUUGAUUUUUAUUAAAAGUUCGAAUACUAUGAUUAAUCUCAGUCUUUUAACUGAAAUUUUUAACUUUGGUUAAAAGAUUGUUUUUAACUUUUUUAGAUUUUAAUUAAAAAAAAUAAGAACCGUUUCUUAUAUAAAAAAUAUAAAAACUAUUUUUUAGUCAAAAAAUAUAAAAAAAAUUAAAUCAUGAAUUUAAUAAACCAUGGUUAAUCAUGCUCUAACUCAUUUCGUAAACUAUGGUUAAUCACGUGUUGCCACGUGUUGGUCUUCUGUCUCUGUCGAUACCGAAAUGUUAAUUUUUCAAUGGCCGGGAUUCGAACCCAGGUGACGGUACUCACAGCUGUAACUCCUUUACCAUUAGAGCUAGAAGCCCCGAUUUAGACAUAUCUUCUCAGUUGCAAAAAAAAAUAUAUCCUCUAAAAAAGGUUUGGGUUAUAUCAUUUCAUUUUUAUAUUAAUCUGAUUGAUAUAUUCUAAGUUUAUCCUUCUAAGCAUAAUUAUUCGCUGAAAUGAAAGUCGUUCAUUUUAAAAUGAUACAAUAAUAAUACUCUCUCUAUUUUUAAAAUAUACAUAUUAUAGAUUUUUCACAUAUAUUAAAAAAACUUAUUAAAUAUGCAUUGUUUUUUGUGAAUAACAAUUUUUCAUAACUUUUAGUCAAUAGAAAUUUAAUAAACACUAUUAAUUUUUUUGAAACUUACAUUUUUUCAUAAAAUUAUACAUCGAAAAAGUAAAAAAUGUAUCUUUUUGAAACAAUUUUUUUUCCAGAACAUAUAUCUUCUAGGAAGGGAGAGAGUAAGAUAUAAAAUUAUACUAAUGAAAAUACGUAACAUACACUAAUUUAUAAUUAGGAAUGCUUGCAUCGCAUGUCAACUGUUUUCUUAAUUCUCAACAUUAUCGUCUCUCAUAUAGUUUAAUUAUUUAACUAGGUCAGAUUACGUUUUAUUUAGUAGUUGAACCUUUUGUUUUUUAUUAGCAUUAUGUGUAUUUAGUCUAAUAUCGUGCAUGCUUAUAUUUGCAUUUAAUUAAGCUAUAUUGCGUCCAUGAACAUCUAUGAUCAAAUAUAUAGUCAAUCUGGACUAUAUAGAUGCAUGCAAGAUGUAAACCAUAUGGUUAACUUUACCGUGAGUUCACACCUUCUAUUUGUUUUCUUCAUUUCUAUGAAUUCACAUCUUAUUUUUUUUGUUAUUGCGGGUGGACUCCUUAUUUUUAUGCCGAUCAAAUGUAUUCAGUAACAGUCACCAAAUAAACUAAUCUCCAAUUAAGUACUACAGCGUAUAAAGUAAGUUAUUUUUGUUUGCAAACUCAUUCAAUUCACAUAAAGCCACCGGCACAUAAAUUAAGUUGCCUUGGGAAUGCUAAUUGCUAGAGCAUGAAGAGAGGCAUAGAAUCACGAGCUCAAUAUUAAGAAAAUACUGAAGGUGCAGGUUGCCUAAUAACAAAAGUCGAGGCUCGUUCUUGAAUAUACUCCCUCGGUUUCUAAAUGUAGGUAGUUUUAGCAAAAAAAAUUUGUUUCACAAUAUAAAUAAUUUACAUAUUUCAAUGCACUUUUUCAUUUAUUGAAUAUUGUGUGACCAAUGAAAUAAUGUUAAACUUUUUAUAAUUGGUUAAAUUAAUUGAUUAAAUGAUAUAUUUUUUUAGAUAACAACUUUCUAAAUAUUUGUACUAUUAAGUAAAACUACUUAUAAUUAAAAACAGAGGAAGUAUUACUUAUCUAAAGAGUCGCGUUCACAUGGGAUUAAACUAUAAAAUCUGCAUACAUAUCGGAUGAUAAAAGAAGAUCAACUGAAUAAGUCUCACAUUUGAACUAGUUUGGUUUAUAAAUUAUAAUGGUGUCAUCAUCUCAUUUUUUUGUUUAGGUAAGGUUCAAGUUUAUUUCUUUUAAAACCCUAAAUAAUUAAUUGUUGAGAGGAUUGAUGUACAUAUAGUGAAAAAAAAAAUAUAGAAAGUAACUUGUUUGAAUAUUUCAACGUAUGACUAUGAUGAUUCAAUUGCUUUAUUUUACUAGAUGUGCAGUGAGUAAAUCAUUAAAUAAAUAUCACCAGUCAAAUAGUACUAAAAAUUAAUCUAGAUUCGCAAGAAUAUAAAUUUUAUAGAAGAAAAUAAUAUAUGUAGGUAAGUGGUUUUGGCGUGCCUGCUUUUGAGGGCAAAGGCAUGACUCAUAAACGUAGUUCUUUUUCUUUAGUUGAAUUUAAAAGAGUUGUUGAUCUAUUAUUUUCCACACAUCAUCUCAACCCUUCACCAUAAUGAGAAUCUCAAUGUCACACCAACGCAUAAUCGCACAUCUAAAUUUGUAUAUGGAACAAACUUUAUUGUUCUUUUCUCCAAAGGAAUCUCGUUUUCAGCAUCCCUAUAUGCAUAAUAUAUUUUGUAGUAUUCAUAAGGUCUUCUGUCAUAUAUUCUCGAUAGACAUCACGCCAUCAUCUAUGCCAUACAUAGAGUUCUAAAAGUUAUGUACUUGUCAAUAUAUAAAAGUAAACAAUAUGCACGUCCAAUAUAUGUAAUACUAUGUGUUUGGCACGUAUUUAGUAGAUAUCGAUAAACACAAAAUACGUGAAAGCAAUGCAUCGGGAAAGUUGGUUGAGCAAGGAAUUGGAUACGGCUCGAGAUGGCAUCACAUGUAUUGGAAAAAGUAAAGCAAUGUGUCAUUAUAAACCAUAAACCUCAAUAGUAAUAGUGUUUCCGCUUUCUUAUUACUCCCAUCAACAAAUAUUUUGUUAUCUUCACAACAAGUAAAAUGGAUUCAGUUAUCAAGAUUAUAAGUUUCCGCUAUUACAUAUCUCAAACAUCUACUUGACAACCACCACCACAUUAUAUAUUUGACGUUUUUUUGUCAAAAUAUAUGGUUGUAGAAAUUAAAAGCAAGCUGAUAUAUUAAGUUAUAUUAGUGGGGUAUUUUGGUGAAGAAGGGAGGUGGAUAUAUAGGUGAAUCGAGCCCAUUGUCAACAUCUUACUUGUAUUGGAAACACACUACACUAGGACCUUAAUUUCCACUCCUCGCAACAAUUAUAUAUUCCACGAUUUUUAUUGACCGUUGCACUCGAUUUCAUGCACCCAUGUGGACCCACCUAACCUAUCUGAUAAAGUGAUAAUUGAGUAGAACAGCAAAGAUGUAUGAAUUUUCAUGUUUUUACACACGUUACGUGGAUCCAAGGCAAUUGUAGAUCGAGACGAGCCGUAAUUAUCGAGGACUGGUAUAUAUAAUGACAAUCAUGUAAUAAAAUAAAGGAAUAGAUCAGCCCUCUAUUAUCACUCAUGGUUUCAUCACCUAAUCUUGAUGACCUAUCCCCACGUUAACGUUUCAUUUUGGAAUCGGGUGCCACAACUAAUCUCACUUUUCCAUGUUAGAUAUGAAUCAAAAUUUGACUAAACUUGUCAUGUUUAAAUUAAUUAAUUAGCGUGCUAAUUAGCUGCCAAGAUUGAUUAACAUAUGAUGCUGAUGAAAAUAAUAAAUUUUCUGAGUGAAGAUAAGGGAAUCAUCACCCCACCCACCCACUAAACAUAAUGACAGAAACGAGUGAAAUUGAUAUGUCUUUCUCUUUUCUUUUCUGAACACAAAAUGAAUCCAUGUUAUAAAAAUAAAUUAAAAUUCCUAGAUAAAUUUAACAUUAAAUUUCGGCAGAAAAUGAAUGGUUCUUCUUAUUCUCCAAUUCCAUUGCACCACAUUUCUCCAUGGAUUUGGUAUGUCAAAUAAUUUUGAAAAAAUAUAUGUUUAGUAUGAAUAGAUGUGAUAUAACAAAAAAAAAGAAUUGUCAGAAUAAUGCAUCAUUAAAUAAAUGGUACAAAAAGAAAGGUGAGAUCCCUAAUAAUAAUAGAAACGUUGACAGGAAGGUAGAUGUGCGUUUGUAUUAUUUUGGAUUGUCCCUCUCUUCUCUUCCUCUAUAAUUACACUAACUUGUCGAAUUCAUCACACUUCCCCAACCAAACUUGUUUGCUCCAUAUAUAAUUAUUAUCAAUUUAUUGAUAUAUGCAGGCAGAGACAUGUGUGUGUCUGUCUAGCAUAUAUAGUAGUAGCUCACAUAAAUUAUAUCGAUUGAUUCCGUGGGAUUAUGACCUAUGUUAGAUUGUGACAUUUGAGGUUUUUUGGCACUCUGCGUUAUGUACGCAUCAUAGACUGCGACAUUUUUUGUGUGUAUGCAUAUAUGAUGAUGAUUAAUGAUUUAUGCCAAUUUGGGAACUCUAGUAAGUAUGCUUUUAGUGGUCCAUCCCAUUUUCAAAUCUUAUCUUGUCUUUUCUUUUUUGCUAAGAAUGUAAAUUUCAUUUUACAAAAUGAAAGUUGAGGUUACAAAAGGUUAUACACAAAAAAAAAAAAACUUCUACACUUGGUUCCACGGCCAAAAAAAUGUAAAAAAAAAACAUGAAAGUAAAGAUAAUCGCUAGAAGUGAAAAAAAUCUUAUCUUUUCAAUAAUUCCAUAUCUCAACAAGCUAGCCUUUAAUCCAAACUAAUGAAGGUAGCUUGAUUUGUUUAUAUUUGUAAAAUAACUAAAAUAACAAAGCCUGAAUUUAUAAGUUUCGGACUGUUCAUGAGCUGAUAUGGUUCUUCGAAACAAGCUCAUUUGAACUUAGGCCCAACUAAAGUCUUACACUGUAAAUAAGUAAACAAGCCCAUGACACAACCUUACAGUUUUACAAACAUUAUUUUUUUUUACAAACAUGCAUACUCUAUUUUUUUUUUCUUUAGAAAAUGUAACAUUCCUCAGUAUUUUAAAUGUUCAUUCCUCAGUACUUUUACAAACGUAAGGUUGUGUAAAAAAUUCCUCAGUUUUCUUACAAACGUAAGGUUGUGUAAAAAAAUAAUGUUUGUAAGAAUACUGAGGAAUCUUACACUGUAAAUAAGUAAACAAGCCCAUGACACAACCUUACAGUUUUACAAACAUUCAUCCACAGAAAAACGUAACACGAUUUUUUUUGUAUACAUUCUCACCUAUGUAAAACUAUAAUGAAAUUGACCUUAAAACGAGAAUUACUAUUCAAUUAAAUGUUCAAAAAUGCGUUAGCGGGUAAUGGUUUAUAACAUUAACUAGAUUUUGACCCGCGGUUAAGAAACGCAUAUAUUUUUUUGGUGACCGUAAACUCAAAUAUUAAAUGAAUUUAUGUUUAUUAUUAAAUAUCAAAAAUAUUUAAAAGCUGUUCUAUUAUUAUUAUUUCAGUCCGGUACAAUGUUUUCAUUGAGUUUUCAUAUCCGAAUCAGACUUGUGGUCGAACCGUAAGAUCUAGUAACUCAUAUAUAGUGGGACAGUAAUAAAUAUAGUAAAAGUAUCUGAAAAUUUAAAAGACCGUUAUUAGCCCACAGAGAAAAAUAUAAUUUGUUUUUUAUUUUAUAAAUUUUUGAUAUAUUAAUAUAUAUUUGACUUGUAUAAGAAAUUUCUUUUAACAAAUAUUUUUAAGUUUAUUUAUAAAUAUAUUAAUUAUCAAUCUACCAAAAUAGUGAAGCAAGUAUUAUUUUUUUUUCCUUUUUUAAUUUUCUAUCAAACUAUUAUCAAUUAUUUUUUUUUUAAAAAAAAUCAGUUUGUGACAGACAUUUUAUUAUUAGAAAUCCAUACAAUUUAAAUAAUGUUACAUUUAUAUGUAUUUAUGUAUAAAAUGGUCUUCAUAAUUUGGGAUUUUGUAAAAAAAUGGUCUAAAGUUAAUUUGGUUAAUUUUUUUUUCUGUAACAAAAGUUAAUUGGAUUUAUAAUUUACUUUUCUGAAUGGGUUGUAUCAGUUAAAUUAUCUUUUUUAAGUUAAACGCCCAAAAACCAAUUAAUAAUAUUUAUUUUGCUAAUAAUAAAGUGAGAUUAAAUAGAGAUAACAUAUAAUAUAUAAGAAGGACAAAAAAA
This is a long non-coding RNA of Brassica rapa (field mustard), 6820 nucleotides long. RefSeq lists it as uncharacterized. The record is from RefSeq and is a predicted model, not a curated record. Lineage: Eukaryota; Viridiplantae; Streptophyta; Magnoliopsida; Brassicales; Brassicaceae.